This 292-nucleotide ribosomal RNA is filed under the name uncultured bacterium. Its description in RNAcentral is "partial 16S ribosomal RNA". The record is from RNAcentral.
GGACUACUGGGGUAUCUAAUCCUGUUUGCUCCCCACGCUUUCGCGCCUCAGCGUCAGUUGCGAGCCAGAAAGCCGCCUUCGCCACGGGUGUUCUUCCUAAUAUCUACGAAUUUCACCUCUACACUAGGAAUUCCACUUUCCUCUCUCGCACUCAAGUCUUCCAGUCUAAAGCGCACCUCCUGGGUUAAGCCCAGGGCUUUCACGCCUUACUUAAAAAACCGCCUACGCGCCCUUUACGCCCAGUCAUUCCGAACAACGCUAGCCCCCUCCGUCUUACCGCGGCGGCUGGCAC